Molecule: ribosomal RNA, 373 nt
Filed under: uncultured organism
Description: partial 16S ribosomal RNA
Rfam family: Bacterial small subunit ribosomal RNA
Source: RNAcentral
GUAGGUGGCAAGCGUUGUCCGGAAUUAUUGGGCGUAAAGCGCGCGCAGGUGGUUCUUUAAGUCUGAUGUGAAAGCCCCCGGCUCAACCGGGGAGGGUCAUUGGAAACUGGGGAACUUGAGUGCAGGAGAGGAAAGUGGAAUUCCACGUGUAGCGGUGAAAUGCGUAGAUAUGUGGAGGAACACCAGUGCCGAAGGCGACUUUCUGGCCUGUAACUGACACUGAGGCGCGAAAGCGUGGGGAGCAAACAGGGAUUAGAUACCCUGGUAGUCCACGCCGUAAACGAUGAGUGCUAAGUGUUGGGGGGGUUUCCGCCCCCUCAGUGCUGCAGCUAACGCAUUAAGCACUCCGCCUGGGAGUACGGUCGCAAGACUG